Molecule: long non-coding RNA, 4124 nt
Filed under: Takifugu rubripes (torafugu)
Lineage: Eukaryota; Metazoa; Chordata; Actinopteri; Tetraodontiformes; Tetraodontidae
Description: lncRNA (ENSTRUG00000032862.1)
Source: RNAcentral
AUGGCGACUUUUCCUAUAGAGGAGUUGGUACCACUGGUGGCGCCCCCUGCCGGCGAGGCGGUUGUUGCGCUCGCUGUCGCUGCGUCGGGCAGCGGGACAGGUGAAAUGAUGUCAAAUGGCCGCAUCAGGACUGCAGUUAAUCCUUGUAUUUGGAGAAAGAAAAGGUUCAAACAAAACACCAGUUCUCCUGGGAAUCCAGCUCGGGGGGGCAAGGUUGCGGCAGCAUCGAGACCUAACGCGACCUCCCUGAAAAUAUUCAGGGCCCAGAAGAGCUCAGCUUCAGCUGCGUCUCGUUCCUCGGCGCAUUCCAGCGUCGGUACUGCAGUGAAGCCAUGGGCGAGGAGAAAGAAGACGUUGAAACAGAACAACAGACCCCUAAACGUCUUCUGUCCUAGAUGUCCACCACAAGCGGAAGAUUGGGACCUUGAGAUCUCAGUUACUGCCAACGGUCUCGAUGACGUAACCGGCGUGGCUUUGCAGGAAUCGACACUUAACGGACUGGUUACAGGCGGUUACAUACCAGCCGUCCACCACGUGCCGCCUGUUAACUGGGUUCGUGAGAGCUUUCCCACUGAACCAGACCAGUUUGCAGAUGCUGAAGAUCCUGCUGGGAUGCCACCACAAGUGGAAGAGUGGGACCGCGAGAUCCAGGACGUGGCAACAAAACUUUACUCGGUUACUGCAGAUGGUCUGAAAGACAGUGUGGCCUCGCAGGACUUGACACAUCUGCUCACAGGCGGUUACAUACCAGCCGUUCACCACGUACAGACCAUUAAAUGGGUUCGGGAGAGCUUUCCCAUUGAACCAGACCAGUUUACAGAUGCGGAUGAGUAAUCUAGACACCUUCUUUUAUAAUUUACGAUUAUUAUAUAAUCGGUGUUUACGUUGUAAAUAUUUGAAAGCCGCUCGUGACUGAUCUGACUGGCGGAUUCUGUUUGUUUGUAUUUUACCUUCAGUGAAAUUCAGUUUAAAUUGUGUCAAGUUUGUUUUCUCUGCUGCAGUUCCUGUGUGAAGGGUCAAUGCUGCCAUCAAAAAUGUCCAGGCCAGAGUCAGGUUGUUGUUUUAUACUCGGUUUUAUUUCAUCAUUUUUAUUCAGGUUUUAUAUUUUAUAUUGCAGCAUUUAUAUUGCUUUUUUUGAACUCUGUGAUCUUAAGUAGUGAUUUUAGCUAAGUGUCACAUACACAAUGCUGUUUUUUUAUGUUUUUUUUGUUUUUUUUAAAUCCCACUUGAUGUCAUAUAUGAAAACUAACCUUGUUGUCCUUUAUUGGCAUCCUUGGUUACGUUGUUUCUAUUUUCCACAUUAACAAGUACGCAAAGAAACUUCUUCAUUCGUGAAAAAAAUGGAAAACGGUGCUUUGUGUUAUUCAAAAUUUCAAUAAAACCUUUUUUUUUUUACAUUAACUUUUGCACGUUAAUUCGUUAAGAUUCAAGUUUUUAUUUUAUUAUUUUUUGAAGCAGUGACAUCAUUUUGCCACUAGAUGGGGUGCUUGAUGUCGGAAUUUGAGUCAAGUCGCCACCUCCGGGAGUUCAGUGGGUUCGUGUUCAAGGAUGUGGAAUAUUUGAGACACUUUUUUUCGCCCUGGUUUCAAUAGAAAGUGUGUUGUUAAUGCCAGGAUUAUAUUAUGGAUCAUUAUAAAUGAUCAGUUGACACAGAUUUAAUGGGCUUAUUUCUCCCUCAAAACUCUAAUCUGCAUAUUUCAUGACACCAGGAAAUCAUUCAGUGUGCAUGACUGUGUUUAACUGCAGCCACCGUUUGGAGUAUAGCUAUCAGGAAAAGGUCGUCCUCUAAAAUAAACAAAUAAUGAAACACACAGGACCCAACAGACUCAUUUCAUACUCCUGCUGUAACUCAGAUAUGAUUGAAAUAUAGUAACAUUUCCUUAGUCAUCAGGUCUGUGUCCAUGACCAUGAGAUGACCAUCAGCCAGUGGGCGGCACAUGUGCUUUAGAAAACAAGCACAAGGCUGAUAUAAAAUUGUCAUUUUGGCCAUUUUGAAGCUCUUUUUGAAAAUGUUCAGCAGAUUAUUAAAUCAUGGAGGAACAAAUCCCCCCCCCCCCCCCAGUUUUCUCAGUAUCUUGGGCUGAUUUUCCAACCUGUUUGUAUCUCUCUGCAUGUUUGGUUUUCAUGAACCAAUCCCAAACUGAAUGUCGAUGUUCAUUUCCCCUACCUGUAAUCACUCUGUGAACUUGGCACACAGUAAAGUAAAGAUCCACUUCGGAGUGGACUCCACAUGUGCAACGUAUACGUUUUAAUGAAUAUUCUUGGCCAGAGCAGAGAGGAAUGGAGCUCGUUUGCAUCGGCAGAUGAAGUUGUUAUACGCGCUUGUUGCUUCAAUGUUUCCUUUGUUGUUUUUGAAGUUUAACUGGUCGAUGAAAAGGCUCUGUUUCCUCCGUCGGAGUUCCUCCCUGCCCUCUUCUGCUCCCAUGCAGCCAUCUGUUAUUGAUUGUAGCAGGAGCAGCGUCAGAUCUACACAACCCUGCUGCGACGCAGUUACGUGGGGGUGGCAUCAGAGAUGCACAGUUAAGACAUGGAGUGCUUCAUGCAGAACAUGUGACGUUAGCGCCGAGUGAUUAAUGUUCCAAUGUGUCUCAGUAGACCUUUUCCCCACUUCCUGUCUUCGGGGCAAACAUCCUCUACCGUAAACUCCCCCGCUCAAUGUCACAUUUAAUGUCAAUCUGAGUGUUUGUGGUAAAGUGUGCUCUAAUAACAGAGGAUAAUCUAAAUUAAAUCUCCCAUUUCGCCUUUGUGAAUCAGCAACAUUUGUUUUUUUUGUGUGUGUGUGUUUCCAGUGUGACCAGUCAGUUGGCGUGGAGUCUGAUCUGGAAACAUAAUGGGUUUGUUCGCCUCACACGGGAAGCGGCCCAACAGGAGGCAGAGAGGAGGAUUGUGGUUUGUUUAACUCUUUUCACCUACGCAAAGCACACGCAUGAAAUCCGUUUAGAACUCGCCAUGUGGACUCAAUAAUACUUGCUGUUUCGAACUAAACAUUUGAUUAGGACGAUUUGCAUAUCGAUACAUAUUCUGCUGGCUGUUCAAUAUUCAGCCAUGUAAAAUAGCGUUUUAAACCCAACCAAUCAGCUUUAUUCCUGUUCUCGGUGCUGCUGUUGUGUCACACAUCGAUGCUGGUUCACAGAUUUUUACAGUGAAGGCCAACCGGGUCGGUCCAAAAUCCCUAAAACGCUCCAUAUUGGUGCGAUCCUGGAUGGUAGCGAUGAUGACCUUGUGAGUGUGACCGGCUCUCUGCCGUGACUCACCAUCAGUCACGUCUUUCUUUUGUCUCCUCUAAACGCGUCUGGUCAUUCCGUUUUGGCGAUAAGACGGCAAAUCCCGGAAGAUGCCUGUGGUGAGCUGACCGCAGACAGAUCUCAGAAGAGCAGGAACAUAAAUAAAUUGGCUCUUUUGGAGGAAGCACAGGAUUCUGGUAAAUUCAAACCAUUAUCUUCAGUCCACAAUUGUGAAAAUUGGUAAAAGAUGGAAACAAAAGGCUCUUUUUUGGAAAAGCCGCCUCACUCAGGAAAGAAACAGCAAUUUAAUUUUACUACUGCAUUAAACUUAACAACAGCAGGGACUGUAAAUUUUCCUUUGGGAACAUUUUGAUGGCCCUGAGGAUGUAAUCGUAUUGAUUUGUCAGAGGUUCUGAGUUCCUUGCUGUCAACAGCACAGAAAUACGCCACCGUAAUGGAGAACACCCGCCGCAGUUCGCGGCCGCAUCGCGUCCAGGUCCCCUGCUUCUAAACGCUCCCAAACCUUUAUCCAACUGGGUUAGCUUUGUUUCGAUACCCUGAGCCAGUGCAGCAGUGCUUCAGAUCCAGAGGGGAACUAACAGAAGGAAAUCUCUCGCCACAUCUGGUGAACAGAGUAAAAGCAACAGAUUUGACUGAGUCACAGCAAUUGGAAUCAGAGGGCCUGAAACCAUCAACAUAUGGUGAAACCGGAGCUCCGCACCAGUUUUAGAAGCUCGUUCCUGGUAAAUUCAUGUCCGGUGCGUCACUGGAACACAGCUGAUGGACAUUCUUAACGUGACCGGGUGGGUUUUAUGAAGGUACGGAACACAGAAGAACGUUGGCACUGGCAGAGAUUCCUCCCGACUUGAUCGACGGCAACAUUUUCAGCACAGACCAGCC